RNAcentral lists this ribosomal RNA (253 nucleotides) under uncultured bacterium. RNAcentral's name for it is "partial 16S ribosomal RNA". It matches the Rfam family "Bacterial small subunit ribosomal RNA", at positions 524 to 776 of the family's 1533-position model. The record is from RNAcentral.
AACGUAGGACGCAAGCGUUAUCCGGAGUUACUGGGCGUAAAGCGCGGGCAGGCGGUUGGUCAAGUCUGAUGUGAAAUCUCCUCGCUCAACGGGGAGCAGCCAUUGGAAACUGGGCAACUGGAGUCUGGCAGAGGUAGGCGGAAUUCCGGGUGGAGUGGUGAAAUGCGUAGAGAUCCGGAGGAACACCAGAGGCGAAGGCGGCUACCUGGACAAUUGCUGACGCUCAGGCACGAAAGCGUGGGGAGCAAAAGGG